Molecule: non-coding RNA, 23 nt
Filed under: Gallus gallus (chicken)
Lineage: Eukaryota; Metazoa; Chordata; Aves; Galliformes; Phasianidae
Source: RNAcentral
UACCCUGUAGAUUCGAAUUUGUG